UACAGAGGUCCCAAGCGUUGUUCGGAUUCACUGGGCGUAAAGGGUGCGUAGGCGGUCGGGUAAGUCUGGCGUGAAAUCUCCAAGCCUAACUUGGAAACUGCGUUGGAUACUAUCCGGCUCGAGGAAUGGAGGGGAGACUGGAAUACUUGGUGUAGCAGUGAAAUGCGUAGAUAUCAAGUGGAACACCGGUGGCGAAGGCGAGUCUCUGGACAUUUCCUGACGCUGAGGCACGAAAGCCAGGGGAGCAAACGGG
Molecule: ribosomal RNA, 253 nt
Filed under: uncultured bacterium
Lineage: Bacteria
Description: partial 16S ribosomal RNA
Rfam family: Bacterial small subunit ribosomal RNA
Source: RNAcentral